AGCAGGACAAACAGGCCAGGUGGUGUCAGGAGCCCAGGUCUCCAGCUAGAGGGAACAUCAACCCUGCAGUGGGAGCAGGGGCCCAUCGCACAUCCUAGGCACAGAUGCUAAUGUAGGCAUCACAGACCAUAAAGGAGAACAGCAAGAGGCCCCCACCAAACAUCCACAGAUGGCCCUGGACAUCAGCCACAUUCUGAGAAACAUGUCAUGUUCUGGGAUGGCUAAGGCAUCAACCUUACCCUGUGGUAAUUCUAGUGACUAUGUUGCCACCAUCUUGGAGCUCCAUGCCCUCAUAGUGUACGGCACCUGCAGAACUGCCUGUGCAUGGACAUCCUAUACUACCUCACUCCUGAGGGGUGAUGCUUCUGCAGGGCCUAUGAUCUGGUGCACAACUUUAGACACCAUCAUCCUGGAGCAGCUCUGCACCCUCACUAGCCAGAGUUUUGACAUCCUCAAGGCCAAGGCCACAUUCAAGACUUUGGACUUCAUUGAUGCACUUGUGCUGAGCAAGAUCCUGGUCAGAGUAAAACAUUCCAUGGGAACUCGGGCUGUGAGAACCAUCUUAACCAACUGACUGCAAAAACAUCCUUAUCACAUCCUGCUGGGCAAAGGCCCAACAGCCUGACUGCAGGAACAUCCUUAUCAUCUUCUACUGCGCAGCAAGCUGUACUGCCCAGAGCCCUCCCUCCCAGCCCCAUGAUUACCCCAGCCUGUGAGCGGCAGUGGGCGCUGACACUAAGCUGGUUUCCCCCUCCGCAGGGUUUUGCUAGUAGUAAGCCUGUG
This 783-nucleotide long non-coding RNA is filed under the name Pongo abelii (Sumatran orangutan). Its description in RNAcentral is "lincRNA". The record is from RNAcentral. Lineage: Eukaryota; Metazoa; Chordata; Mammalia; Primates; Hominidae.